GACGAACGCUGGCGGCGUGCUUAACACAUGCAAGUCGAACGGAAAGGCCCUGCUUUUGUGGGGUGCUCGAGUGGCGAACGGGUGAGUAACACGUGAGUAACCUGCCCUUGACUUUGGGAUAACUUCAGGAAACUGGGGCUAAUACCGGAUAGGAGCUCCUGCUGCAUGGUGGGGGUUGGAAAGUUUCGGCGGUUGGGGAUGGACUCGCGGCUUAUCAGCUUGUUGGUGGGGUAGUGGCUUACCAAGGCUUUGACGGGUAGCCGGCCUGAGAGGGUGAACGGCCACAUUGGUACUGAGAUACGGCCCAGACUCCUACGGGAGGCAGCAGUGGGGAAUAUGGCACAAUGGGCGGAAGCCUGAUGCAGCAACGCCGCGUGCGGGAUGACGGCCUUCGGGUUGUAAACCGCUGUCGCCUGUGACGAAGCGUGAGUGACGGUAAUGGGUAAAGAAGCACCGGCUAACUACGUG
RNAcentral lists this ribosomal RNA (468 nucleotides) under uncultured bacterium. RNAcentral describes it as "partial 16S ribosomal RNA". It matches the Rfam family "Bacterial small subunit ribosomal RNA", at positions 28 to 507 of the family's 1533-position model. The record is from RNAcentral.